GUUGGGUAUGAUGGCACAUGUCUGUAAUCUUUGCAUCUGGGAGACUGAGGCUGCUGGACUACUUGAGUCCAGUGCCAUGACACACUAUGGUGAACGGGAGUCCUGGUGAUGGUCAGCAUUGACAUCGUGCUUCUUGGGGAGCCUUGGCGCCCCAGAUCGUCUAGGGAGGGGUUAACCAACCCAUGCUGGUGACGGAGCAGGUGAAAGCCCCUGUGCUGAGCAGUCUGUGGGUUGCCCUGUGAGAAGGGGCUGCAGUGCUGCCAAGGUGAAAGGUGGCUUAAC
This is an unclassified non-coding RNA of Scleropages formosus (Asian bonytongue), 282 nucleotides long. It matches the Rfam family "Metazoan signal recognition particle RNA". From Rfam's summary of the family: The signal recognition particle (SRP) is a universally conserved ribonucleoprotein. It is involved in the co-translational targeting of proteins to membranes. The record is from Ensembl. Lineage: Eukaryota; Metazoa; Chordata; Actinopteri; Osteoglossiformes; Osteoglossidae.